RNAcentral lists this ribosomal RNA (258 nucleotides) under uncultured Oscillospiraceae bacterium. RNAcentral describes it as "partial 16S ribosomal RNA". It matches the Rfam family "Bacterial small subunit ribosomal RNA", at positions 83 to 339 of the family's 1533-position model. Lineage: Bacteria; Bacillati; Bacillota; Clostridia; Eubacteriales; Oscillospiraceae. The record is from RNAcentral.
UUGGAGCGGUUAGUGGCGGACUGGUGAGUAACACGUAAGCAACCUGCCUAUCAGAGGGGAACAACAGUUAGAAAUGACUGCUAAUACCGCAUAUGCCUUGAGUAUCACAUGGUACAAAAGGGAAAGGAGCAAUCCGCUGAUAGAUGGGCUUGCGUCUGAUUAGAUAGUUGGUGAGGUAACGGCCCACCAAGUCGACGAUCAGUAGCCGGACUGAGAGGAUGAACGGCCACAUUGGGACUGAGACACGGCCCAGACUCC